CAGUCGCCACGGUAAGACAGAGGAUGCAAGCGUUAUCCGGAAUUAUUGGGCGUAAAGGGCUCGCAGGCGGUUUCUUAAGUCUGAUGUGAAAGCCCCCGGCUCAACCGGGGAGGGUCAUUGGAAACUGGGAAACUUGAGUGCAGAAGAGGAGAGUGGAAUUCCACGUGUAGCGGUGAAAUGCGUAGAGAUGUGGAGGAACACCAGUGGCGAAGGCGACUCUCUGGUCUGUAACUGACGCUGAGGAGCGAAAGCGUGGGGAGCGAACAGGAUUAGAUACCCGAGUAGUCCCUGUCUCUUAUAC
Molecule: ribosomal RNA, 301 nt
Filed under: uncultured bacterium
Lineage: Bacteria
Description: partial 16S ribosomal RNA
Rfam family: Bacterial small subunit ribosomal RNA
Source: RNAcentral